This 305-nucleotide ribosomal RNA is filed under the name uncultured bacterium. RNAcentral describes it as "bacterial SSU rRNA". It matches the Rfam family "Bacterial small subunit ribosomal RNA", at positions 333 to 630 of the family's 1533-position model. The record is from RNAcentral.
GGUGUCCUACGGGACGCCGCAGUGAGGAAUAUUGCGCAAUGGGCGAAAGCCUGACGCAGCGACGCCGCGUGAGGGAUGAAGGUCUUCGGAUCGUAAACCUCUGUCAGCAGGGAAGAACGGUCACUGUGCUAAUCAGCAGUGAAUUGACGGUACCUGCAAAGGAAGCACCGGCUAACUCCGUGCCAGCAGCCGCGGUAAUACGGAGGGUGCAAGCGUUAAUCGGAAUUACUGGGCGUAAAGCGCUCGUAGGCGGUAUGUCAAGUCAAGGGUGAAAUCCCCGCGCUCAACGUGGGAACUGCCUUUGA